Numida meleagris (helmeted guineafowl) is the source of this 1019-nucleotide long non-coding RNA. RefSeq lists it as uncharacterized. The transcript is spliced from 4 exons. NCBI's taxonomy places the organism in Eukaryota, Metazoa, Chordata, Aves, Galliformes, Numididae. The record is from RefSeq and is a predicted model, not a curated record.
GUGUGUGUAUGGCUAGUCCACUUCCUAGAAACAUGAGCUGAUUACUGUGGGCUGGCUGAGUAGUUUUUGUCUAGAGCCCGCUGAGAUGGACAGCCAUCAGCACCAGAAAGUUAGGAAUUUCAUCUUAGGCCUAAAAUGAACAAUGUAAGCCUGUGGUAGGGCUUGUCAGACUUAAAAUACCAUUGUUGGUUUUCAGCAAUUGGACAACACCAUCUCUAAGCCAUCCAUCAUCCUUCAUGAAAGCUGCAGAAUGGUUUUCAAGCAGUCCAAAGGAAGAAAAGGUUCUACUUUUUAACAAGCGACUGUUGAAAAGCUAAAUGUAUAACCUGGACAUUGUGGGAUACAAAUGUUGAAUGCAGAAAGAAGCUGAACCAGAAUACGCUUCAUCAUAUGGACUCGUUCUCCUUAAUAAAACCAGAGAGCUGUAGGAGUUGAAUGAUGAUUUUACAGACCUGACUCCUUGUGCACCUCCCACCUCUUCACUGGCAGGGCAGCAAGAGAAAUGGACAAAUCCUUGAUUCAGUGAAGCAGCCCCAACUAACACCUGCAACGUUCAAAAUCUUGCACUAAGAAAGCUCUCCCUGGACAGAAAGCAUAGAAGAUCGCAGACAAGAUUUUCUGAUGCACUUAACUCUUGCAUGGAUAAUAGUUCUGCUCUGUAACUUGCAAUGAACUUGCAAAGGAUGCUGUGGGGAUGCAACCUGCUACUGCUGCUUCUCUGGAAGUGGACAGUCACCCUCAUUCUGAAUGAUUUUUGAUAAACACAGCGCUUUCCCACCGUUUGCUUUUGGGAAAUCUCCAGAGUUCCUUCUAUUUCAGUUAUUCAUUCUCCUUCCUACAAAGUGAAUGAUAACCUGGGGGGCCUGUGACAUUUGAGGCAUUUUCAGAAACAGUGAUAAACGCUUUCUUUGCUGACUUCUGGAGGGAGGUGUUGCCUACCCCGUGGCGUUUUUUUCACUAAUGGGUAGAGCAGCACUUUCUAUUCUGCACAGAUGGAGCAGAAUAAAAGCCUCUGAGAG